AUACGGAGGGUGCAAGCGUUACUGGGAAUCACUGGGCGUAAAGCGCGCGCAGGCGGUCUUUUAAGUUGGAUGUGAAAGCCUACGGCUCAACCGUAGAACUGCAUCCAAAACUAUUAGACUAGAGUGUGGGAGAGGAAGAUGGAAUUAGUUGUGUAGGGGUAAAAUCCGUAGAGAUAACUAGGAAUACCAAAAGCGAAGGCAAUCUUCUGGAACACUACUGACGCUGAGGCGCGAAAGCGUGGGGAGCAAACGGGAUUAGAUACCCUAGUAGUCC
RNAcentral lists this ribosomal RNA (274 nucleotides) under uncultured bacterium. RNAcentral's name for it is "partial 16S ribosomal RNA". It matches the Rfam family "Bacterial small subunit ribosomal RNA", at positions 523 to 796 of the family's 1533-position model. The record is from RNAcentral.